GAGCUCUCCCAUCGGCGCCACCUGUCCUUGUUGCGCCGCCCCCUCCGCCGCCGUUCCUGCAGUCUGUGUCGCCGUGACCGAGCCGUCGGAGGUCGAACUCGUGGAGCCCACCGAGUCCGUUGAGCCUGAACCCGGAGUCCAGUUCGUGGUCGAGCCUGAAGUUAACCCAAGCAAGCAGCUAAGCAUAAUUUCUUGCACCUAUCUAAUCUGACUAGUUUAGUUAUCUCACUUGGGUAAUGUUGGGUUAUAUAUAUUAUGUAUGUAUUGCAUUCUUGUACCUACUUUGAUGCACUAUCCUUCCUUGAAUUGUUCAACCAUGUCCUUGCCACA
Molecule: long non-coding RNA, 330 nt
Organism: Panicum virgatum (switchgrass)
Lineage: Eukaryota; Viridiplantae; Streptophyta; Magnoliopsida; Poales; Poaceae
Exons: 2
Source: RefSeq, a predicted model, not a curated record